RNAcentral lists this small RNA (1868 nucleotides) under Oryza sativa Japonica Group (Japanese rice). RNAcentral describes it as "sRNA Os04g0122750". The record is from RNAcentral. Lineage: Eukaryota; Viridiplantae; Streptophyta; Magnoliopsida; Poales; Poaceae.
AGGUGGCAUAUGCUAGAGCGAGAGGGAAUGGGAUCUUGUUAGAGAUUAAAAAAAAACUGAUUUUCUAGCCUAAUAAGCCGAUUAUGCGCAUGAGAAACAAAACUUUCAAUCUUUUUAUGUUUUUUUAGGUACAUACAUCAAUUUCUAGUGCACUUGAAGAGUUUUAGUCACUUCAAGAGUUUUCGGUUUCCCAAGUGAGACAAACUGGUUACACUGGCUACUUAUUACGUAUAUAUAAAAUGGGAAACAGAGAUCAUGUCGAUGCGUAAAAAAUGUGCAGUAUAGAGAAUCAUAUACAAUUUUAUGCAACUGUGGGCCCAAUGGCUGCAUGGCAGAGGAAACAAAUCGCGCGAGCCGUCACAGGUCCAAUCACGUCCAAUCACGGCGCGCGGCAAGGGGCACAUGAAAAAGGAACUCGAGCACGUGCAUCUCGGAUAAAAAAAGGCACACACAUGUCGCACGCAAUUGUCGUAUGAAAAAGGGACUUGCAUGUGUGAAACAGACUGCAACUAACAUGCGACUGACGUGAUGAUGAUGCCAGACGUACAAUUACGAAUGACAAGGAUUUGAUGGAUUAGAAAACUAACUCAUAUACGGAUAACAUAAAAAUCAGAAAACCAACUCAAAUAUAAAUGACGUACCAAAAUUCCAACGGAAACAUCUUCAUUUUUUAUAAUAGUGGCCAAGUCCUAUUGGGGUAAAAUAUGGCUUUGGGUUGAAACAUAUUAGUAAAUAUGGCUUUGGGCUGAAACAUAUUAGUUUGUGCUACAGGAAAUCUCAAACUGAUUGUAUGGCCCAAUAGGCAUUCUGUAGGUAUGGCCCAACAGCCAUUUUGUUUUUUUUUCCUGGAAACCGACGGGAUUUUGUUUUCAUGUAACGGAUUUGGUUUUCACGUGAUUUUUUUUUCUGGAAUCGGACAUGACUUUUUUGUCCUAACCAAAUACUUAUUGACGGACGAUGGAAGCACCUCUUAUUUUUUAAGUAGUAAAGAAGUAGAGAUAGAGAUAAGAGAUUAAAAUCGAUUCAAGAACGGAUGAUGUACAAAACUACCGGUAAAAAUAUCUUUAAUUUUUAUAAUAGUAGAGAAGAGAUAGAGAUAUACAUAGGCGUAAGAUCGCCAUCAUGCUUUCGGAUUAUGGAUGAUUAGCGAUGAAAUAUUGUGUGGGCUCACAUUUAAUGACGGACGAAAAGAUUAACGGAAGCCUUACUUAUUUUUUAAUUGUGUGGGAACGGUUUAAUGACGGACGAAAAUAUUAACCGGAAGCCUUGGUUAUUUUUAAUUUCUAUAUAAUAGUAGAGAUAGAGAUAUACACGGGUGUAAGAGAUCGCCGUCACGCUUUCGGAUUAUGGAUGAUUAGCGAUGAAAUAUUGUGUGGGCUCACAUUUAAUGACGGACAAAAAGAUUAACGGAAGCCUUACUUAAUUUUUAAUUGUGUGGACCACGGUUAAUGAUGGACGAAAAUAUGAACCGGAAGCCUUGUUUAUUUUUUAAUUAGGUAUAUUAAUAUAGUCUAGAAAAAAUACCUGUGCGUUGCAACGGGAAAAGACAAAGAUCCAAUGAUAAUAUAUGCUUUCUAGCUUCCUUUCCCUUUACCAUGUCGCGAUGAAAUUGUUAAUUAUAAUUGAGAAAGCUGAAUACGCUUAUACGGGAGCCUACGCUCUAUUUCACUGUAUCAAAAUAGUCUUCAUGAUCUAAUUCUGUUAGAACGAGAGAUAAGGGAAAAAUGCUACAUUUCCAGUAUAAUAAGUCGAUUGUGCACAUAUAUAAUAAGCAACACAUUAUUCCUUCUGUUAUUUUCCCGUGCUACAUACAUCAAUUAUUCGCAUGCCGUUAAAACAUAACACUAUUCAAAUCAUGUUCACCUUUU